GACGAACGCUGGCGGCGUGCCUAAUACAUGCAAGUAGAACGCUGAAGAAAGGAGCUUGCUUCUUUUGGAUGAGUUGCGAACGGGUGAGUAACGCGUAGGUAACCUGCCUUGUAGCGGGGGAUAACUAUUGGAAACGAUAGCUAAUACCGCAUAACAGCUUUUGACACAUGUUAGAAGCUUGAAAGAUGCAAUUGCAUCACUACGAGAUGGACCUGCGUUGUAUUAGCUAGUAGGUAGGGUAACGGCCUACCUAGGCGACGAUACAUAGCCGACCUGAGAGGGUGAUCGGCCACACUGGGACUGAGACACGGCCCAGACUCCUACGGGAGGCAGCAGUAGGGAAUCUUCCGCAAUGGGCGAAAGCCUGACGGAGCAACGCCGCGUGAGUGAUGACGGCCUCGGUUGUAAAGGACUCUGUGAUCGGGGACGGAACGGU
Molecule: ribosomal RNA, 436 nt
Filed under: uncultured bacterium
Lineage: Bacteria
Description: bacterial SSU rRNA
Rfam family: Bacterial small subunit ribosomal RNA
Source: RNAcentral